GAUGAAGAACGUAGCGAAAUGCGAUAAGUAAUGUGAAUUGCAGAAUUCAGUGAAUCAUCGAAUCUUUGAACGCACAUUGCGCCCCCUGGUAUUCCGGGGGGCAUGCCUGUUCGAGCGUCAUUACAACCCUCAAGCUCUGCUUGGUAUUGGGCCCCGCCAGUUCUGGCGGGCCCUAAAGUCAGUGGCGGUGCCUUCCGGCUCCGAGCGUAGUAAUUCUUCUCGCACUGGAGACCCGGUUGUGUGCUUGCCAACAACCCCCAAUUUUUUAAGGUUGACCUCGGAUCAGGUAGGGAUACCCGCUGAACUUAAGCAUAUCAAUAAGCGGAGGA
Molecule: unclassified non-coding RNA, 329 nt
Filed under: soil metagenome
Description: partial contains 5.8S ribosomal RNA, internal transcribed spacer 2, and large subunit ribosomal RNA
Rfam family: 5.8S ribosomal RNA (bases 1-120)
Source: RNAcentral